UGGGGAAUCUUGCGCAAUGGGCGAAAGCCUGACGCAGCAACGCCGCGUGGAGGAUGAAGGCCCUUGGGUUGUAAACUCCUGUCGGCUGGGAAGAAAUCGUUCGGGGCUCAUACCCACGGACGUUGACUGUACCAGCAAAGGAAGCCCCGGCUAACUCUGUGCCAGCAGCCGCGGUAAUACAGAGGGGGCUAGCGUUAUUCGGAAUUAUUGGGCGUAAAGGGCGCGUAGGCGGCCAUGCGUGUCUUCCGUGAAAUCCCUCGGCUUAACUGAGGACGUGCGGAAGAAACUGCAAGGCUCGAGUCCGGGAGAGGGGGGUGGAAUUCCCAGUGUAGCGGUGAAAUGCGUAGAUAUUGGGAGGAACACCGGUGGCGAAGGCGGCCCCCUGGACCGGUACUGACGCUGAGGCGCGAAAGCGUGGGUAGCAAACGGGAUUAGAUACCCCCGUAGUCC
RNAcentral lists this ribosomal RNA (450 nucleotides) under uncultured bacterium. RNAcentral's name for it is "bacterial SSU rRNA". It matches the Rfam family "Bacterial small subunit ribosomal RNA", at positions 355 to 796 of the family's 1533-position model. The record is from RNAcentral.